RNAcentral lists this unclassified non-coding RNA (133 nucleotides) under uncultured Herpotrichia. Its description in RNAcentral is "sequence contains ITS1". The record is from RNAcentral. Lineage: Eukaryota; Fungi; Ascomycota; Dothideomycetes; Pleosporales; Melanommataceae.
CCGUGGGGCUUCGGCCCCAUUGAGAUAGCACCCUUUGUUUAUGAGUACCCUUGUUUCCUCGGCGGGCUUGCCCGCCAUGAGGACAUUAAAAACCCUUUGUAGUAGUAGUAACUUCAGUUAAUAAUAAAUAUUA